Molecule: ribosomal RNA, 810 nt
Filed under: bacterium SCGC AAA018-E18
Lineage: Bacteria
Also listed under: 1 other name
Description: SSU rRNA
Rfam family: Bacterial small subunit ribosomal RNA
Source: RNAcentral
GCAGUCGAACGGCAGCACGGACUUCGGUCUGGUGGCGAGUGGCGAACGGGUGAGUAAUGUAUCGGAACGUACCAUUGAGUGGGGGAUAACUAUCCGAAAGGAUAGCUAAUACCGCAUAUUCUCUCCGGAGGAAAGCAGGGGACCGCAAGGCCUUGCGCUCAUUGAGCGGCCGAUAUCAGAUUAGCUAGUUGGUGAGGUAAAGGCUCACCAAGGCGACGAUCUGUAGCGGGUCUGAGAGGAUGAUCCGCCACACUGGAACUGAGACACGGUCCAGACUCCUACGGGAGGCAGCAGUGGGGAAUUUUGGACAAUGGGGGCAACCCUGAUCCAGCCAUGCCGCGUGAGUGAAGAAGGCCUUCGGGUUGUAAAGCUCUUUCGGCCGGGAAAAAAUCGCAUGGGUUAAUACCCUGUGUGGAUGAUGGUACCGGAAUAAGAAGCACCGGCUAACUACGUGCCAGCAGCCGCGGUAAUACGUAGGGUGCGAGCGUUAAUCGGAAUUACUGGGCGUAAAGCGUGCGCAGGCGGUUUGUUAAGAUAGGCGUGAAAUCCCCGGGCUCAACCUGGGAACUGCGCUUAUGACUGGCAAGCUAGAGUACGGCAGAGGGGGGUGGAAUUCCACGUGUAGCAGUGAAAUGCGUAGAGAUGUGGAGGAACACCAAUGGCGAAGGCAGCCCCCUGGGUCGAUACUGACGCUCAUGCACGAAAGCGUGGGGAGCAAACAGGAUUAGAUACCCUGGUAGUCCACGCCCUAAACGAUGUCAACUAGGUGUUGGGUGGGUAAAACCAUUUAGUACCGGAGCUAACGCGUGA